GANUGGUGGUUGGUGUGUUUGGNCAUGUCGGAUCCCUGCUCGGGCAGNGACGGCAUCUCCCGCACGCCACUUCAUUCGUUGGAGCAAGUUAUAGCUUGUCCGUUGUCGGUUAUCCUGUGUUGCGUACCUUACGAGGGCAUUCGAAUGGCUAAUACGAUCCCAUCUCCGCCUUGUACCGGUGCUCCGUGCGGGCUCGCGGUGCGGGGCGGAUCUCACGGCGUGCGUCGUGUUUCGCGCCGCAUUCACCUUCAUUGGUGUUUGGGUAGGCGACACUCGACGUGCUGCCCGUUGUCUUGGUUGCGGAACAUCGGGUGGGUACGAGGCAUCGACCUCCGAUCACCACACAAAUGCGUUCUACGCUCUAUGCGGACGACUGCUGCACUCGGCUUUCGGCGGGGCACUCGCUGCUCGGUCGAAGCCGUGUCGGCGUCGGUGAGGGAUGC
Molecule: unclassified non-coding RNA, 443 nt
Filed under: Hyptis rhytidea
Lineage: Eukaryota; Viridiplantae; Streptophyta; Magnoliopsida; Lamiales; Lamiaceae
Description: partial external transcribed spacer
Source: RNAcentral